Homo sapiens (human) is the source of this 477-nucleotide long non-coding RNA. Ensembl annotates it as long intergenic non-protein coding RNA 2557. The record is from Ensembl. NCBI's taxonomy places the organism in Eukaryota, Metazoa, Chordata, Mammalia, Primates, Hominidae.
UGCCCUUUCCCCUCCAGGCUGCUUCCAGACUCUGCCGGUUGUCGAGUGCCCUGGAAACCCGCUCACCCUGCAGGAGUUACUCAGUGUCCUGUGUGCAUCCAGACCUUGGUGUGUGGUAUCGAGCCUGUCUCCUGUCUGAGUCUGUGACUUCUCAGGCGCACAUGUCGUGGCCUAUUCAUUUUCUUAUCCUCGUUGCCCAGCGCCGCGCCUGUCACACGGUGGGUGCUCCGUAGAGUGGGCUGGAGGAUAGAAGCAAUCAAUCCCCAAUACCGUGGACGUGCUUGGUGGCAGGAGAUGCUUUGCUUCGAUGAAAUGCUCCGCCUCCAGGACAGGAGAAGACCUUGGUUUUGACCCUGAGGAAACAGCAAAACUUGGACCUUGAAGACAGGAGAUUGCCAUGACUAAUUUGGGGGCAGGCGGUGUGACUUUGAGUAUGUUACCUAACCUUGCUGAGCCACGUGGUACUGGUGAGGAUUC